This 188-nucleotide ribosomal RNA is filed under the name uncultured bacterium. Its description in RNAcentral is "partial 16S ribosomal RNA". It matches the Rfam family "Bacterial small subunit ribosomal RNA", at positions 1316 to 1500 of the family's 1533-position model. The record is from RNAcentral.
CUGCAUGAAGUCGGAAUCGCUAGUAAUCGCAGGUCAGCAUACUGCGGUGAAUACCGGUUCCCGGGCCUUGUACACACCGCCCGUCACACCACGAAGUUGGUAACACCCGAAGCCGGCGAUCCGACGCGCAAGCGAGGAAACCGUCGAAGGUGGGAUCGAUGAUUGGGGUGAAGUCGUAACAAGGUAGC